AGGACUCCAGCCAGUGCUGAGG
Molecule: unclassified non-coding RNA, 22 nt
Filed under: Mus musculus (house mouse)
Lineage: Eukaryota; Metazoa; Chordata; Mammalia; Rodentia; Muridae
Description: oocyte_clustered_small_RNA1630
Source: RNAcentral